CCUACGGGAGGCAGCAGUGAGGAAUAUUGGUCAAUGGACGAGAGUCUGAACCAGCCAAGUAGCGUGAAGGAUGACUGCCCUAUGGGUUGUAAACUUCUUUUAUAAAGGAAUAAAACGAGGCACGUGUGCCUUUUUGCAUGUACUUUAUGAAUAAGGAUCGGCUAACUCCGUGCCAGCAGCCGCGGUAAUACGGAGGAUCCGAGCGUUAUCCGGAUUUAUUGGGUUUAAAGGGAGCGUAGAUGGGUUGUUAAGUCAGUUGUGAAAGUUUGCGGCUCAACCGUAAAAUUGCAAGUGAUACUGGCAGUCGUGAGUACAGUUGAGGUAGGCGGAAUUCGUGGUGUAGCGGUGAAAUGCUUAGAUAUCACGAAGAACCCCGAUUGCGAAGGCAGCUUACUAAACUGUGACUGACAUUGAUGCUCGAAAGUGUGGGUAUCAAACAGGAUUAGAUACCCUAGUAGUC
RNAcentral lists this ribosomal RNA (460 nucleotides) under uncultured bacterium. RNAcentral describes it as "partial 16S ribosomal RNA". It matches the Rfam family "Bacterial small subunit ribosomal RNA", at positions 338 to 795 of the family's 1533-position model. The record is from RNAcentral.